GGGGACGUUCUUGGAUUCGACAGGGGUCCCCCGAGCUUAUUAAGCGUGUCGGAGGGUUGGCUCCGUCAUCAACACAUUUCGGUUAAAUAUAACUGACAAAUCAAACAAUAAUUUCGCAGUAGCUGCGUAAUAGCCACUGCAUCGCCUAACAGCAUCUCCUACGUGCUGUUAACGCGAUUCAACCCUAGUAGGAUAUGCUAAACACUGCCGCUUGAAGUCUGUUUAGAUGUUGCUUAGCAUGAUGCGAAAAUUAUCAAUAAACUACACACGUAGAAAGAUUUGUAUCAGGACCUCUGGACGCGGGUUCGAAUCCCGCCGUCUCCAUUA
Molecule: transfer-messenger RNA, 327 nt
Filed under: Staphylococcus epidermidis
Lineage: Bacteria; Bacillati; Bacillota; Bacilli; Caryophanales; Staphylococcaceae
Rfam family: transfer-messenger RNA
About the family: Bacterial tmRNA, also known as 10Sa RNA or SsrA, is named for its dual tRNA and mRNA-like properties. Its role is to liberate the mRNA from a stalled ribosome.
Source: RNAcentral